UUAGACCCGAACCCCGGCGAUCUAGGCAUGGCCAGGUUGAAGGUGCAGUAACAUGCACUGGAGGACCGAACCGUUGAAUGUUGAAAAAUUCUCGGAUGAGUUGUGUUUAGGGGUGAAAGGCCAAUCAAGCCGGGAAAUAGCUGGUUCUCCGCGAAAUCUAUUGAGGUAGAGCGUCAGAUGUAUGCCGAUGGGGGUAGAGCACUGGAUGGGCUAGGGCUGCGCGAGCGGUACCAAACCUAACCAAACUCCGAAUACCAUCGAGUCUUGUCUGGCAGACAGACGGCGGGUGCUAAGGUCCGUCGUCAAAAGGGAAACAGCCCUAACCUACAGCUAAGGUCCCCAAGUCAUAUCUAAGUGGGAAAGCAUGUGGGAAUCCCAAAACAACCAGGAGGUUGGCUUAGAAGCAGCCAUCCUUUAAAGAAAGCGUAACAGCUCACUGGUCUAAAUAAGGGUUCCUGCGGCGAAGAUGUAACGGGGCUAAAGAUAUGCACCGAAGCUUAGGGUUCAUAGUUUACUAUGAGCGGUAGCGGAGCGUUCCGUAAGUGGUUGAAGCCGAAGGGUAACCGACGGUGGACAUAUCGGAAGUGCGAAUGCUGACAUGAGUAGCGAUAAAGAGGGUGAGAUACCCUCUCGCCGAAAGACCAAGGGUUCCUGCUCAACGCUAAUCGGAGCAGGGUUAGCCGGCCCCUAAGACGAGCCCGAAGGGGGUAGUCGAUGGGAACCACGUAAAUAUUCGUGGGCCUGGUGGUGUGUGACGGAUGGCGGAAGUAGUGUGUCCUUAUUGGAUUGGGCAUGCUGCCAAGUUGUUCCUGGAAAUAGCCCCACCGUAUAGACCGUACCCGAAACCGACACAGGUGGUCAGGUAGAGUAUACCAAGGCGUUUGAGAGAAGUAUCCUGAAGGAACUCGGCAAAUUGCCUCCGUACCUUCGGAAGAAGGAGGCCCCGUUAGAAGGCAACUUUUAGCGGGGGGCACAGGCCAGGGGGUAGCGACUGUUUAGCAAAAACACAGGACUCUGCUAAGUCGGCUUCAAGACGACGUAUAGGGUCUGACGCCUGCCCGGUGCUUGAAGGUUAAGAGGAGGAGUGCAAGCUCCGAAUUGAAGCCCAAGUAAACGGCGGCCGUAACUAUAACGGUCCUAAGGUAGCGAAAUUCCUUGUCGGGUAAGUUCCGACCUGCACGAAUGGCGUAACGACUUCCCCACUGUCUCCAGGAUAUGCUCAGCGAAAUUGAAUUCUCCGUGAAGAUGCGGAGUACCCGCGGUUAGACGGAAAGACCCCGUGCACCUUUACUGCAGCUUUAGAGUGGCAUUAGGAAAGAACUGUGUAGAAUAGGUGGGAGGCUUUGAAACUUGGGCGCCAGUCCGAGUGGAGCCAACCUGUGAAAUACCACCCUGUUGUUUUCUGAUGUCUAACCUAGGUCCGUUAUCCGGACCAGGGACCCUCUAUGGCGGGUAGUUUGACUGGGGCGGUCGCCUCCUAAAGAGUAACGGAGGCGCGCGAUGGUAUGCUCAGGCCGGUUGGAAACCGGCUGCGAGAGUGCAAUGGCAUAAGCAUGCCUGACUGCGAGACCGACAGGUCGAGCAGAGACGAAAGUCGGUCAUAGUGAUCCGGUGGUCCCUCGUGGAAGGGCCAUCGCUCAACGGAUAAAAGGUACGCCGGGGAUAACAGGCUGAUGAUUCCCAAGAGCUCAUAUCGACGGAAUCGUUUGGCACCUCGAUGUCGGCUCAUCACAUCCUGGGGCUGGAGCAGGUCCCAAGGGUUUGGCUGUUCGCCAAUUAAAGUGGUACGUGAGCUGGGUUCAGAACGUCGCGAGACAGUUUGGUCCCUAUCUGCCGUGGGCGUCGAUACUUGAAAGGAGUUGCCCCUAGUACGAGAGGACCGGGGUGAACAUACCUCUGGUGUACCAGUCAUGCCGCCAGGCGUGCCGCUGGGUAGCUAUGUAUGGACGGGAUAACCGCUGAAAGCAUCUAAGCGGGAAGCCUCCCUUGAGAUUAGGUAUCUUCGAACCGUCAUAGACCAUGACGUUGAUAGGCUGGGUGUGGAAGCGCAGUAAUGCGUGAAGCUAACCAGUCCUAAUAGUUCUGAUCACGCUUGAGAGUUCGCA
This 2105-nucleotide ribosomal RNA is filed under the name Altererythrobacter sp. XM-24bin4. Its description in RNAcentral is "bacterial LSU rRNA". It matches the Rfam family "Bacterial large subunit ribosomal RNA", at positions 709 to 2925 of the family's 2925-position model. Lineage: Bacteria; Pseudomonadati; Pseudomonadota; Alphaproteobacteria; Sphingomonadales; Erythrobacteraceae. The record is from RNAcentral.